CCUACGGGCGGCAGCAGUGAGGAAUAUUGGUCAAUGGCCGGAAGGCUGAACCAGCCAUGCCGCGUGAAGGUCAGUGCCCUAUGGGCGUUAAACUUCUUUUGUGCGGGAGCAAUAAUGGUCACGUGUGGCCAGACGAGAGUACCGUACGAAUAAGCAUCGGCUAACUCCGUGCCAGCAGCCGCGGUAAUACGGGGGAUGCAGGCGGUAUCCGGAUUUAUUGGGGUUAAAGGGGGCGUAAGCUGGGAGGUAAGUCAGCGGUGAAAUGCCCCCGCUCAACGGGGUGAAGUGCCAUUGAUACUGCCUUGCUGGAAUGCGGAUGCCGUGGGAGGAAUGUGUGGUGUAGCGGUGAAAUGCAUAGAUAUCACACAGAACACCGAUUGCGAAGGCAUCUCACGAAUCCGCGAUUGACGCUGAUGCACGAAAGCGUGGGUAUCAAACAGGAUUAGAUACCCUUGUAGUC
This 460-nucleotide ribosomal RNA is filed under the name uncultured bacterium. RNAcentral's name for it is "partial 16S ribosomal RNA". It matches the Rfam family "Bacterial small subunit ribosomal RNA", at positions 338 to 795 of the family's 1533-position model. The record is from RNAcentral.